AAUUUAAACGAUUAUUAUUAUUAUUAGAAUUGUUUUAUUUUUUAAAAAAUUAUUGUGUUUAGUAUGAUUAAUUGAAUUAUUGAUUUUAAUUAUAGCUUAAAGUACGGUGAGGGAUUUUAAUUAAAAUUUAUUUAAGUAUGUUUUUUUGACAGUACCUUGUGUAUCAGGGUCGAUUAAAAUUAUAUUUAAAAUUAAAAUUUCCCGAUAUUUGAAGAGUUAAAAUUUAAUUGAUUUUGAUGUGAUAUAAUCAUUUCUAAUUAAUUUUUAGGGGUUAAAUGCUAUUCGUUUCAAAUUGUAUCUGGUUUUUUAAGAAAUUAAUUUAAUUAAGGUUUUGGCUCAAUUUAAUUUAUUUUUUAAUUAAGUUGAAUGUUAAUUUUUACAAUUUUUUGGGAUUAGCUAGAAAAUUUAUUAUUAAAAAUUUAAUUUAAAUGAAUUUUAAUUAGGAUUAGAAGUUUUUAUUUUUUGGAUUGAUUUAUAUCUCUUGAUUUGUUAAAUUUAUUUUUGAAUUGUUUUAAAUUUUUUAUUAAAAUGAUUGGGUUAAUUGUUUACCUAAUGAAAUAAUGAUUGAAUUAGUAUUGGUUUAAUUUAAAUUUUAUAAUACGAGUGAGGCUAUUAUAAGGAAUUCGGCAAAUAUUAUUCUCGCCUGUUUAAUAAAAACAUGUCCUCUUGUGUUUUAUUUGAGGUCUGACCUGCCCAAUGAUUUUUUAAUGGCUGCGGUAUUUUGACCGUACAAAGGUAGCAUAAUCAUUAGUUAUUUAAUUGAUAACUGGAAUGAAUGGUUGGACGAGGAAUAAUCUGUCUCAUUAUAGAUUUGUAAGAAUUUAACUUUUAAGUGAAAAGGCUUAAAUGAUUUUGAAAGACGAGAAGACCCUAUAGAGUUUUACAUUAAAUAUUCUUUUUAAAUUUAUUGUAUUGAUUUUUUAUUAGACUUUUUAUUGUUUUGUUGGGGUGACGGAAAAAUUUAUUUAACUUUUUCAUUAUUUAAACAUUUUUCAAUGUAUAUUUGAUCCAGGCUUACUGAUUAAUAGAACAAAUUACCUUAGGGAUAACAGCGUAAUUUCUUUGAAGAGUUCAAAUCGUUAAAGAAGUUUGCGACCUCGAUGUUGGAUUAAGAUUAAUAAUAGGUGCAGAAGCUUAUUUAUUUGGUCUGUUCGACCAUUAAAAUUUUACAUGAUCUGAGUUUAGACCGGCGUGAGCCAGGUUGGUUUCUAUCUUUAAAUUAUUAAAACUUUUUAGUACGAAAGGACCAAUUGUUUUUAAAACUUAUUUAGAUUUGAAUAGC
This 1282-nucleotide ribosomal RNA is filed under the name Histeroidea sp. 5 KM-2017. RNAcentral describes it as "16S ribosomal RNA". The stretch from base 858 to 1214 matches the Rfam family "Archaeal large subunit ribosomal RNA", at positions 2155 to 2712 of the family's 2987-position model. The record is from RNAcentral. Lineage: Eukaryota; Metazoa; Arthropoda; Insecta; Coleoptera.